RNAcentral lists this ribosomal RNA (480 nucleotides) under uncultured organism. Its description in RNAcentral is "partial 16S ribosomal RNA". It matches the Rfam family "Bacterial small subunit ribosomal RNA", at positions 329 to 801 of the family's 1533-position model. The record is from RNAcentral.
ACGUACACUCCUACGGGAGGCAGCAGUAGGGAAUCUUCCACAAUGGGUGCAAACCUGAUGGAGCAAUGCCGCGUGAGUGAAGAAGGUCUUCGGAUCGUAAAGCUCUGUUGUUAGAGAAGAACACGUGCUAGGUAACUACUAGCGCCUUGACGGUAUCUAACCAGAAAGUCACGGCUAACUACGUGCCAGCAGCCGCGGUAAUACGUAGGUGACAAGCGUUGUCCGGAUUUAUUGGGCGUAAAGGGAGCGCAGGCGGUCUGUUUAGUCUAAUGUGAAAGCCCACGGCUUAACCGUGGAACGGCAUUGGAAACUGACAGACUUGAAUGUAGAAGAGGAAAAUGGAAUUCCAAGUGUAGCGGUGGAAUGCGUAGAUAUUUGGAGGAACACCAGUGGCGAAGGCGAUUUUCUGGUCUAACAUUGACGCUGAGGCUCGAAAGCGUGGGGAGCGAACAGGAUUAGAAACCCCAGUAGUCCCAUGAU